CCUACGGGCGGCUGCAGUAAGGAAUAUUGGUCAAUGGAGGGAACUCUGAACCAGCCAUGCCGCGUGAGUGAUGAAGGCCUUAGGGUUGUAAAGCUCUUUUACCAGGGAUGAUAAUGACAGUACCUGGAGAAUAAGCUCCGGCUAACUCCGUGCCAGCAGCCGCGGUAAUACGGAGGGAGCUAGCGUUGUUCGGAAUUACUGGGCGUAAAGCGCACGUAGGCGGUUUUUCAAGUCAGGGGUGAAAGCCCGGAGCUCAACUCCGGAAUUGCCCGUGAAACUGGAUGAGUAGAAUCUUGGAGAGGUCAGUGGAAUUCCGAGUGUAGAGGUGAAAUUCGUAGAUAUUCGGAAGAACACCAGUGGCGAAGGCGACUGACUGGACAAGUAUUGACGCUGAGGUGCGAAAGCGUGGGGAGCAAACAGGAUUAGAUACCCCGGUAGUC
RNAcentral lists this ribosomal RNA (440 nucleotides) under uncultured bacterium. RNAcentral describes it as "partial 16S ribosomal RNA". It matches the Rfam family "Bacterial small subunit ribosomal RNA", at positions 338 to 795 of the family's 1533-position model. The record is from RNAcentral.